This is an RNA transcript of Macrobrachium nipponense, 1339 nucleotides long. It is a transcript of the gene named solute carrier family 22 member 6-like, with no coding region annotated. The transcript is spliced from 9 exons. NCBI's taxonomy places the organism in Eukaryota, Metazoa, Arthropoda, Malacostraca, Decapoda, Palaemonidae. The record is from RefSeq and is a predicted model, not a curated record.
GAGAUUUACAAACGUGUUUGCGAAUGUUGAAAACGCCAUUGUGAUUUCACGCAAAAAAGUUUUGAAGCCGUUGUGAUUGGAACAGUGUGUUUGUGCAAAUCAUAUUCGGAGCGACCGCAUUUUGGGGGGUUGUAACUGGGCACUGACGUCAUAUUUCAUAGCCUUUUGUAACCUAACUUAACCUCAUCACCCUUGUUAAUAACCGGGGUUUCAGAGCGCGGACCCCAUUACCCACUUAGGGGGACUCGCCCCCAGGCAAAAUGAGUGACAACGAUGACAGUUUCGAUGUCCUUCUGACCUCCAUUGGUUUCGGGCGAUGGCAAGCGCCCAUCAUCCUGGCAACUGUCCUCGUUGCUGCCCAGUUUCCUGUCCACCUGGUUGGGUCUCCUUUUGUGAGCGCACCUAUGGACUUCCACUGCUCUUCAACACCUCCUGCAGAGAACCAGUCGGCUGUGUUCAACGCUAGCGGUAUCAACGGCACAUAUUACGACAACAAGUGCCUGGAAGUGCCAGUCAACAUAAGUGAUGACUUAAUGGAAAGAACUUACAAUGGCACUGGGUACUUCACCGGAUUACCAACUUGUCCUUACAUUGAGUAUGACACCUCCAUAUUCAUUUCUACCAUCAAUUCAGAUUGGCACAUCGUUUGCGACCAUGAAAAUCAGCGGCCAUUUUACCAGAUGAUGUACAACAUCGGAGGAUUGAUUGGCAGUUCGCUGAGUGGUCACAUAGGUGACAGAUUCGGACGGAGGAAGUCGGUGCAGGUCGGCUGCGUAGCCCACCUGAUCGCCGUGAUGCUGACCGUGACGGUCCCCUCGUAUCCGUUUAUUCUCCUGAUGCGGAUGGUCGUCGGCGUCGCCAUGGUCGUCAUGCUUCUUCCUGCCUGGAGUUUGGCUCUGGAGGUGACCCCAUCCCGCCAUCGGAGUCUGGUGGGAAUGCUCAUGGGACUUCCAUAUUCCAUCUUCGUGGCUGCCAACGCCCUCAUCGCCUACUACAUCAGGACCUGGGAGUACCUGCUCCUGGCUGGCGCCUUCCCCGGGGUCAUACUGUUCCCCUUGCCAUGUAUAUCGACGAGUCCCCAAGAUGGUUGGUGCAGAAACUUCGAGAAGAGAAAGCGAUUCGUAUAUUGAAGAGCGCUGUCAAUUUUAACAACGCCAAACUGUCAGAACCAGUCGAUGUCACGGUCAAGAAGUUGGUAGAGGCAGCCAGAGAUUCUGCGGGAGCAUCAGGUAGCCAGUCUUUAAGAUCCCAGCUUCAGGAAUUACUCAAGUACAUUCGGUCUCCUGCCAUGAGAAUCAUCCUGAUCUUGUCUCCUACACUGUGGUUCCUGCAAUCCUUC